Molecule: long non-coding RNA, 1564 nt
Organism: Alligator mississippiensis (American alligator)
Lineage: Eukaryota; Metazoa; Chordata; Crocodylia; Alligatoridae
Exons: 4
Source: RefSeq, a predicted model, not a curated record
GGUUUUCUUUUCAGCGCAACUGCCAGCCGUGUCUCGUGGUAUGCCUCUUCGGGGAUCCGCCCCUCUUCCUCUGAGCUCCACUCUCUCCGGCGUCGAGAGAAAUCCUGAGAGACCUGGGGAAGGGUAUUGUGAUACCUGAAAGCUAUUGCAACCAUGCAGUUGAUCCAAUGAAAGAUAUCACCCCCAAGAAUUCGUGUCUUUCCAGCAACCAACCAUGAAACUUAUGAAGUGCCUAUGCUUUGGCUUUCACACACCUUCAGAACAGACCGAACACUAAGGCAUACUCCUCCUAAGACAGUGUCUAAGGAAGUUUGGACAGAUGUUCUCCAGGGAGAUGAGCAAUGCAGCUAACUUGUUCGCUGGCAUGGUGUCACAUCGGAUCCAGAAUUGUAAAGUCAAAACUGACAUCAUAAAGUUGAAACCGGGUGUCAAUUUAUAAACAUUGUCUGAAGAAGAGACGAUACCCUGACACCUGAGAAUUUUCCACCUGAGCUUAAUAUGGCAUGAUACUGAAGAUCAAUAGGAGUUGGACAUGCUCAAAACAGCUUAGUACCAUCCAGGAAUGAAGUGUAAAAGGAGCAGUCAAUUCAAAUAUCAAUGUACUGAAAAAAAUUACACAUCCCAUGUCAUGUCUAGAUCAGCUUCUCUAGGGUUUUUGUUUGGUUGGGUUUUUUUGCAAAGAAAAAGACUGUUGGAAGUUAGUAUUUCUAGUCUUCUCCUAUGCAUAAAUUGGUAUUUCUAAAAGACUUAAAGAAAUAGUGUGUAACUGACCUUGUAAUUUUAAAAUUCAAAGUUAAAUUCCCUUAAGUCAAUAAAACUGAAUAGUGCUCAUCAUCAUUUUAAUGGCAAGCCCAGCCUCUAAUGCUAAUUGUGAUAUAUUUGUAGAACUAUGCGUGUAUAAUGAAAGCUUCAUGUUUUAUAAUAUAUAUUUUAAAAGUUAAGGUACAACCUCUGAAACGAUAGGAAAUUGAUUGAACAGGACACUUUUCUCUUUGUCUCUCACAGAGGUGGGCAAGCAUAAUGUUCAAGUUUCUCUCAGUCUCACCCACAAACCUUAACACUGACCUGAAGUAGCAAUCUCAAAGGAUUAGUCAAUGUCCUGCUGUAUUUCAGACCAGCCAUUACACAGCUACAUAAACAACAUAAACAACAUUCCACUAGGGGGAAUGCCAUACUGGAUCUGGUAUUGGCAACAGGGGAUGACAUGAUAGGGGACCUCCAGAUCGGUAGCCAUUUGGGAGACAGUGAUCACCUAAUAAUAGAAUUCAACAUAAGACGUCGAGUGGGUAAGGUAACUAGUAGGGUGAAAGUGGUAGACUUUAGGAAAGCUGAUCUCAAUGCACUCAGGCGAUUAGUCAAGGACGCACUGCAGAGUAGGAGUUUUGAAGGGAUGGGAGCCCAAGAAGGGUGGCUGUGCCUUAAGGAAACGAUCCUUCGGGCACAAAGCGAGACGAUCCCCGAGCGAGGCAAAAAAGGGAAAGGGGCCAGGAGGCUUCCAUGGCUGACCAGAGAAAUCCAGGGCAGCCUAAGGGCCAAAAGGGGAGCACAUAAAAAGUGGAAAAAG